Molecule: ribosomal RNA, 431 nt
Filed under: uncultured bacterium
Lineage: Bacteria
Description: partial 16S ribosomal RNA
Rfam family: Bacterial small subunit ribosomal RNA
Source: RNAcentral
AACGAACGCUGGCGGCAGGCCUAACACAUGCAAGUCGAGCGGACCUUUCGGGGUCAGCGGCGGACGGGUGAGUAACGCGUGGGAAUAUGCCCUUCUCUACGGAAUAGUCCUGGGAAACUGGGGGUAAUACCGUAUACGCCCUUUGGGGGAAAGAUUUAUCGGGGAAGGAUUAGCCCGCGUUGGAUUAGGUAGUUGGUGGGGUAAUGGCCUACCAAGCCGACGAUCCAUAGCUGGUUUGAGAGGAUGAUCAGCCACACUGGGACUGAGACACGGCCCAGACUCCUACGGGAGGCAGCAGUGGGGAAUCUUAGACAAUGGGGGCAACCCUGAUCUAGCCAUGCCGCGUGAGUGAUGAAGGCCUUAGGGUUGUAAAGCUCUUUCAGCUGGGAAGAUAAUGACGGUACCAGCAGAAGAAGCCCCGGCUAACUCCG